Long non-coding RNA from Vespa crabro (European hornet), 687 nucleotides. RefSeq lists it as uncharacterized. Lineage: Eukaryota; Metazoa; Arthropoda; Insecta; Hymenoptera; Vespidae. The record is from RefSeq and is a predicted model, not a curated record. The transcript has 2 exons.
CUCGCGCAACCCUUUAAUUUCUAAUAUUUUCCAUCCGGAUAAUUAACACGAAUUUAUGUAAUUCAUAAAUUCUUAUACAUUAAUAUUAUGCUGAAUCAUCGUUAGCGAUGUAAAUUUUUAAUUUCUAAGGGCUCUUGAAAUCUGGAAAGCAAAGCAAAUUUCUUUCUCUUGCGCUCUCUCUCUCUCUUUCUUUCUCUUUCUCUCUUUCUAUUCUCCUCUUCUUCAUCAAAGUCACUUGGACCAGGAACCGUGUUGUUUCGCCAUCUCUCUAUCGGGAGUAGUCCACCCCCCUGAAGCGUCGACGUAUGCACUUUCACCCCCACCAUUGACGAGGAAGGGGGAUGGCGUCGACGAUAGCGUCGGCGUCGACGUCGACGUCGUGCAUUCACCUCAAUCAAUACGCUCGGCGAACCAGACCGGAGAGAGGAGAGGACUUCUGCAGGGACGCAUGGAGAGAUGGUAAGAGAGAUCUCCUUAUCGAUCAUCGAGGGAAAAAAGUUUCUCUCGAUCCCACAGACUCGUCUAAAAAUAUUUUUUCUGUAUUUUAUAUAUAAUUUUGUAUAUAAUUAACAUCCACCAAACUUCUCAAUAUCGAUUGAAUAUUUUUUCUCAAGGUACGCGUUACAACGAUACCUUCUAUAUUUGUGACUCAUUAAAUUUUCGAUAUUCGAUCGACCAUUAUUCGUU